CAAUAGCGUAUAUUAAAGUUGUUGCAGUUAAAAAGACUCGUAGUUGGAUUUCUGGGAGGGUGCCAAUGUCCGUCGUCGUACGUGUUGCAGCGGCGCCCUUCCAUCCUUCUGUUAACGACUUUGGGCAUUCACUUGCCGGAGUCGGGCUCAGAUAUUUUACCUUGAGAAAAUUAGAGUGUUUCAGGCAGGCUAGGCCGGAAUACAUUAGCAUGGAAUAAUGGAAUAGGACUACGGUCUCUUUGUUGGUUUCUAGAGCUGAGGUAAUGAUUAAUAGGAUAGUUGGGGGCAUUCGUAUUUAACUGUCAGAGGUGGAAUUCUCGGAUUUGUUAAAGACUAACUUAUGCGAAAGCAUUUGCCAAGGAUGUUUUCAUUAAAUC
Molecule: ribosomal RNA, 377 nt
Filed under: uncultured eukaryote
Lineage: Eukaryota
Description: SSU rRNA
Rfam family: Eukaryotic small subunit ribosomal RNA
Source: RNAcentral